Molecule: long non-coding RNA, 1188 nt
Filed under: Astyanax mexicanus (Mexican tetra)
Lineage: Eukaryota; Metazoa; Chordata; Actinopteri; Characiformes; Acestrorhamphidae
Description: lncRNA (ENSAMXG00005009735.1)
Source: RNAcentral
GGACAGCGCCGACAGUAACUCCAACAAAAUCAGAAUAAACUCUAUUCAAAGGUCUUCAUUUCAGAAGAAACGAAAAAAAAAAAAAAAAAAAAAAACUAAAUUUUUUCCACACGUGUCGAUAAAUCCAACCUAUCGUGACAACAAGAAGAAGGUGACUGAAGGUUAAACAAACAAUGAGCAAUUGCCAAGAAAGAUCAUAUUUCAGUAAAAGAUGCUCACAAGAUAACACUAUUUGGAUCUGAGGGGGGUUUGGUGGGGGCCAUUAUUUUCUGAAGAGUAUAAAACGACAGAAUUUUCACUGCUGGUUCAUUAAAUCCCGUUGUCAAGCCACAAUAGGAAGAUCCUACAGGUAUGAAAACUUGAACUUGAGCAAUGUUUUACUUUAACUGUAUUUAUGCUGAAUAUGUCAUUUUUGUAUUAAUUCAACUUUGAUUUUCACAGCUUUUAGAGCAAUUCUCAUCAUCACCAUCAUUAUCUUCAUCAUCAUGGGUCGUUUUGCAGAACUGUCCCUGCUUUUUGUCUGUUUUGUUGCUUUUGCAGCUUCUGAGAAUCAUCCAGAAGCAGAUCUGGUGAUAAAACCUGUAACAGAGGAUGACCUGAAUGCCCUAGUUAAAGGUAAGGAACUGAUAUAGCUUUCAGCUGUGAUUUUUUUUACUUAUCAUCAUUCAUCUACUAAUCAUUAACCAUUUAAUAAUUUCUAUUAAUUUUUUGUUUUGUGUUGUGAACAGAUCAAAUCAAAAACAAAGUGAAGAGGGCUGCUACAUGUGAUUGUAGCUGUCCGUUUGGCUGGGUGAAAUAUGGAGAACGGUGCUUCACCUACGUUUCUCAAUAUAGGGACUGGACCAGUGCUGAGGUAUGUCUGACCUGUUAAGUUGAUCUGAAUUACGUCAUUUAAAGGCUCCUUACUUUUUGAAGUGUGAAGGUUGUGAUGUCAUUUAUGUUAAAGUUUAAUGUCUUAAAGAAUGCCUCAAUGCUUUGGGUUAUCUAGCGUGACCAUAUUUUUAUUUGGGUAAACCAGGACACCUGGCUAAAUGACGUCAACACCUAAUUUGCAUAAUACAUUUUUUGAAGCUGUAAAGGAUUAAGGUUGUGGGAGUGGGAAAAAAGUGAGUAAAAAACACCCUAAAUGUUAGAAAUUAUACAAAUGAACAACUUCUGUUGCUUUUUAAAUAGGUCAUCACUUUUUUU